RNAcentral lists this ribosomal RNA (145 nucleotides) under uncultured Bacillota bacterium. RNAcentral's name for it is "uncultured Firmicutes bacterium partial 16S ribosomal RNA". It matches the Rfam family "Bacterial small subunit ribosomal RNA", at positions 363 to 525 of the family's 1533-position model. The record is from RNAcentral. Lineage: Bacteria; Bacillati; Bacillota.
AUUGCACAAUGGGGAAAACCCUGAUGCAGCGACGCCGCGUGAAGGAAGAAGUAUCUCGGUAUGUAAACUUCUAUCAGCAGGGAAGAUAGUGACGGUACCUGACUAAGAAGCCCCGGCUAACUACGUGCCAGCAGCCGCGGUAAUA